Molecule: RNA transcript, 516 nt
Organism: Diceros bicornis minor
Lineage: Eukaryota; Metazoa; Chordata; Mammalia; Perissodactyla; Rhinocerotidae
Gene name: adhesion G protein-coupled receptor E4-like
Exons: 3
Source: RefSeq, a predicted model, not a curated record
CAUGAUAUUUAAAGCCAUCACUCAGCUAUUUAUCCUGGGCUGUCCUCGGGGCCUUGGAUUUUUAUGGUUGAAGAAGUCGGGGAGACAAUCAGAUCAGUCGUUGCCUACGCAUUCAGCAUCAUCAAUGUCCUGCAGGGGGGGUUUCUCUUUGUGAUACACUGUCUCCUUAAUCGCCAGGUGCGAAUGGAAUACAGGAAAUGGUUUACUGGGAUGAGGAAAGGGGUUGAAAUUGAAAGCACUGAAGUGUCUCCCUCAUCUACCCACACCAAAAUGUAGGAGGAACUGGGGAAGUCAUCAGAAUCCUAUCGCAGAAGAGACGCUGCAUCUGUCCAACCACAGCCUCAGAUUCAUCUUGUCACUGUUUCUUGGCAAAGAACAGGAAGCUGAGCUGUUUAUGGACGGCGCCCCACCCGUGGUCACAUAUGGAUGAGAACAACGCCACCAUCCAUCUUUCCUGUGAAAAUGAGUGCUGAUGUAUUCCUCUAUUUUGGCUUCUAUCUCCAUAGAAAGAAGGGG